RNAcentral lists this ribosomal RNA (253 nucleotides) under uncultured bacterium. RNAcentral describes it as "partial 16S ribosomal RNA". It matches the Rfam family "Bacterial small subunit ribosomal RNA", at positions 524 to 776 of the family's 1533-position model. The record is from RNAcentral.
UACGGAGGAUCCAAGCGUUAUCCGGAUUUAUUGGGUUUAAAGGGUGCGUAGGUGAGAUGAUAAGUCAGAGGUGAAAGCUAGCAGCUUAACUGUUAAAUUGCCUUUGAUACUGUUAUUCUUGAGUGUAGUUGGCGUUGGCGGAAUGUGACAUGUAGCGGUGAAAUGCGUAGAUAUGUCACAGAACACCGAUCGCGAAGGCAGCUAACGAAGCUAUCACUGACACUGAUGCACGAAAGCGUGGGGAGCAAACAGG